RNAcentral lists this ribosomal RNA (253 nucleotides) under uncultured bacterium. RNAcentral describes it as "partial 16S ribosomal RNA". It matches the Rfam family "Bacterial small subunit ribosomal RNA", at positions 524 to 776 of the family's 1533-position model. The record is from RNAcentral.
UACGUAGGGGGCUAGCGUUGUCCGGAUUUAUUGGGCGUAAAGAGCGUGUAGGCGGCCUGACAGGUCUGCUGUGAAAACUCGAGGCUCAACCUCGAGAUGUCGGCGGAAACCGUCUGGCUAGAGUCCGGAAGAGGAGAGUGGAAUUCCUGGUGUAGCGGUGAAAUGCGCAGAUUUCAGGAAGAACACCUAUGGCGAAGGCAGCUCUCUGGGACGGUACUGACGCUGAGACGCGAAAGCGUGGGGAGCGAACAGG